GACGAACGCUGGCGGCGUGCUUAACACAUGCAAGUCGAACGAAGAGCGAUGGAAGCUUGCUUCUAUCAAUCUUAGUGGCGAACGGGUGAGUAACGCGUAAUCAACCUGCCCUUCAGAGGGGGACAACAGUUGGAAACGACUGCUAAUACCGCAUACGAUCUAAUCUCGGCAUCGAGGAUAGAUGAAAGGUGGCCUCUACAUGUAAGCUAUCACUGAAGGAGGGGAUUGCGUCUGAUUAGCUAGUUGGAGGGGUAACGGCCCACCAAGGCGAUGAUCAGUAGCCGGUCUGAGAGGAUGAACGGCCACAUUGGGACUGAGACACGGCCCAGACUCCUACGGGAGGCAGCAGUGGGGAAUCUUCCGCAAUGGACGAAAGUCUGACGGAGCAACGCCGCGUGAGUGAUGACGGCCUUCGGGUUGUAAAGCUCUGUUAAUCGGGACGAAGGGCCUUCUUGCGAAUAGUGAGAAGGAUUGACGGUACCGGAAUAGAAAGCCACGGCUAACUACGUG
This 510-nucleotide ribosomal RNA is filed under the name uncultured bacterium. Its description in RNAcentral is "partial 16S ribosomal RNA". It matches the Rfam family "Bacterial small subunit ribosomal RNA", at positions 28 to 507 of the family's 1533-position model. The record is from RNAcentral.